Molecule: ribosomal RNA, 497 nt
Filed under: uncultured bacterium
Lineage: Bacteria
Description: partial 16S ribosomal RNA
Rfam family: Bacterial small subunit ribosomal RNA
Source: RNAcentral
GAUGAACGCUGGCGGCGUGCCUAAUACAUGCAAGUCGAGCGAACAGACGAGGAGCUUGCUCCUCUGACGUUAGCGGCGGACGGGUGAGUAACACGUGGAUAACCUACCUAUAAGACUGGGAUAACUUCGGGAAACCGGAGCUAAUACCGGAUAAUAUAUUGAACCGCAUGGUUCAAUAGUGAAAGACGGUUUUGCUGUCACUUAUAGAUGGAUCCGCGCCGCAUUAGCUAGUUGGUAAGGUAACGGCUUACCAAGGCAACGAUGCGUAGCCGACCUGAGAGGGGGAUCGGCCACACUGGAACUGAGACACGGUCCAGACUCCUACGAGAGGCAGCAGUAGGGAAUCUUCCGCAAUGGGCGAAAGCCUGACGGAGCAACGCCGCGUGAGUGAUGAAGGUCUUCGGAUCGUAAAACUCUGUUAUUAGGGAAGAACAAAUGUGUAAGUAACUAUGCACGUCUUGACGGCACCUAAUCAGAAAGCCACGGCUAACUACGUG